This 369-nucleotide ribosomal RNA is filed under the name uncultured bacterium. RNAcentral describes it as "bacterial SSU rRNA". It matches the Rfam family "Bacterial small subunit ribosomal RNA", at positions 527 to 891 of the family's 1533-position model. The record is from RNAcentral.
GGAGGGUGCGAGCGUUGUCCGGAAUCAUUGGGCGUAAAGGGCGCGUAGGUGGCCCGGUCAGUCUUUGGUGAAAGCGCGGGACUCAACCCUGCGUCGGCCAGGGAUACUGCCGCGGCUCGAGCACUGUAGAGGCAGGCGGAAUUCCGGGUGUAGCGGUGGAAUGCGUAGAGAUCCGGAAGAACGCCGGUGGCGAAGGCGGCCUGCUGGGCAGUUUAGCUGACACUGAGGCGCGACAGCGUGGGGAGCAAACAGGAUUAGAUACCCUGGUAGUCCACGCCGUAAACGAUGGGCACUAGGCGCUUGGGGGAGCGACCCCCCGAGGGCCGGCGCUAACGCAUUAAGUGCCCCGCCUGGGGAGUACGGCCGCAA